This 309-nucleotide long non-coding RNA is filed under the name Gallus gallus (chicken). RNAcentral's name for it is "lncRNA (ENSGALG00010025867.1)". Lineage: Eukaryota; Metazoa; Chordata; Aves; Galliformes; Phasianidae. The record is from RNAcentral.
UCCAUGUGCUCCCCAUAGGGCUCCCCGUGCCCCCUAUAGGCCCCAUGUACCCCCUAUAGGUCCUAUGUGUCUCCUAUAGACCAUCUGUGCUCCCCAUAGGACCCUGCGUGCCCCCUAUAGGCUCUGUGUGCUCCCCAUAGGACCCUGUGUGCCCCCUAUAGGCUCUAUGUGCUCCCCAUAGGACCCUGCGUGCCCCCUAUAGGCUCUGUGUGCUCCCCAUAGGACCCUGCGUGCCCCCUAUAGGCUCUGUGUGCUCCCCAUAGCGUCCUGUGUGCCCCCUAUAGGCUCUAUGUCCUCCCCAUAGGACCC